Molecule: ribosomal RNA, 449 nt
Filed under: uncultured bacterium
Lineage: Bacteria
Description: bacterial SSU rRNA
Rfam family: Bacterial small subunit ribosomal RNA
Source: RNAcentral
GCCAGACUCCUACGGGAGGCAGCAGUGGGGAAUAUUGGACAAUGGGGGGAACCCUGAUCCAGCGACGCCGCGUGAGUGAAGAAGUAUUUCGGUAUGUAAAGCUCUCUCAGCAGGGAAGAAAGAAAUGACGGUACCUGACUAAGAAGCCCCGGCUAACUACGUGCCAGCAGCCGCGGUAAUACGUAGGGGGCAAGCGUUAUCCGGAUUUACUGGGUGUAAAGGGAGCGUAGACGGCAUGGCAAGUCAGAUGUGAAAGCCCGGGGCUCAACCCCGGGACUGCAUUUGAAACUGUCAGGCUGGAGUGCAGGAGAGGUAAGUGGAAUUCCUAGUGUAGCGGUGAAAUGCGUAGAUAUUAGGAGGAACACCAGUGGCGAAGGCGGCUUACUGGACUGUAACUGACGUUGAGGCUCGAAAGCGUGGGGAGCAAACAGGAUUAGAUACCCCCGUAC